UUCCAAAGUGUUAAGUUCAGGGCAACAUCUCUGUUCUAUUAAUUAGACUUUGGGACAUUGAAACACAGGCUAGGGGAGAUGACUGGAUAGAAAACAUUGCUCUAUUCACUUACUCACAGCCUAAAAAA
Molecule: small nucleolar RNA, 128 nt
Organism: Pipistrellus kuhlii (Kuhl's pipistrelle)
Lineage: Eukaryota; Metazoa; Chordata; Mammalia; Chiroptera; Vespertilionidae
Source: RefSeq, a predicted model, not a curated record